This is a long non-coding RNA of Mastomys coucha (southern multimammate mouse), 414 nucleotides long. RefSeq lists it as uncharacterized. Lineage: Eukaryota; Metazoa; Chordata; Mammalia; Rodentia; Muridae. The transcript is spliced from 2 exons. The record is from RefSeq and is a predicted model, not a curated record.
GAAUUAAUUAUGUUAUAGAUUAUGCUUAUUAUAUUUUAUGCUUGUUUCUUCUUAAUGACUUAAAUAACUCAUAUGUAAGUCACAUUUUCCACAAUAAAGAAAAGCUUAUUGAUAACUAACAGGUAGUACUUAAAUGAGUGUGUAUUUAUAGAUGGUUCAUAAUCCAGUGUUUCUUUUUUUUUUCUAGGAGGAGAUUUGGAAGUCAGUAGAUGAGUUCCCAUGGAUAUGCUGAACAUUUCAGUUAUAAGGACACCCAGUGGACAUAGUAGCAGAGGCUCUUUUGUCUUUUAAAUAGACAUCUGGUACUUUCUGCCUAUUAAGCUACACCUUGUUUAUUAUGAUAUUCUUAUCUACUCUUGUAACUCAACAAUUUUUCUUUUGAUUUAAAAGUUACGGCAAAAAUACAUAAAUAAA